UAUUUAACCCUGCUGACCAAAGUUACUAUACCACGAAGCUAAAAUGAUCUCUUGUAGAAUUUUACUGAAUGUUAUGUAAAUAUAACUUAUCAUUUUCCUUUCUGUAAGUCUUUAUAAUCAGAUGACCAUUUCGGCCUGUUAGCCUAAAAGCCUAAUAACUUGAGUAUAGAUCUUGUUUUUGAAAAUCGAAAUAAGGUGGUAAUCUUUCCGAAAGCAAACUAGCCUUGAGGUUUGAUUUUGGGUAAUUGGUUAUUCAGACGAAGUUAUUAUAAUGUUUUGAUAAACAUGAUCAUGAAUAUGGUCUAGAGUAAUUCCAUCUCGCUUUGCGAGGUAUAACAAACCUGUGUGCUCGAUUUUAAGACUUCCGAUGAGGCUUUUCAGUAUUUAGCUCACCUGUUUCGAAGAACCGUAAUGAACUGAUGCCAUUGCAGAGCGUCUUUCUCUAUAAGAUUUUCCUUAGUAUUAAUACUUGUAAUUAGUGACUUGAUGGAUAAUGACCAUAUUCUUGCAGGAAAACGAUUUCGCGGCCCCAAGGGGUCUGAUAGGUGGGGCACAGUAGGAGAAAUAUAUCAAAUUAUUGUUCUGUAGUACCCAAUUUGCAUAAACAAAGUCUUGGCGCCAAUGAGGGAUAUAGGUCCUCUAGACCUCUCUUCUAUAUAAAAUAUAUAUAUGAGUCAUUUGCUGUCAACAUGGAAGUGACCAGUCACUUACUGGCUACCUAAUGUGCCUAGCAUCGUUAUAACAAUCCGAAUCUACCUCUCCUAUACCCCAAAUAGACAUACUCACACACCCUCUCACAAUCACACUCUCAUCCUCAUACACACUCACACACACACCAACAACCACUCAACAACCCUCAUUAGUUCAAACGCCCACAUGUGACCAUCACAAUAUACUACUUUACACCUGAUUAUAUUUCGGUUGAUGGGGUAUAAAUUACAAUGUCAUUAUGAAAAUUAUGAAAUAAUUUUGAAAUAAAUUUUACUUAUAUUUCAGAUGAUCAGACUACAGAAGGGCCAAACAGUAAUGACACUACAGAUGAGCCAAACAGUCAUGACAUCACAGAGGAGCCAAAAAGUGAUGACAUUACAGAGGAGCGAAAAUAUGAUGAUACUGCAGAAGAGCAGAUACGUGAUUCUUCUGAUAUUAUUUAUGUUGUCAUUGGUCUCAGUGUUUUGAUGGGAGUCUCAUGGAUGGUGAUGGUUAUAAUAGUCAUGAGGUCCAGGAACUGGAGAAGAAACAGACAGGGAGGUAUGCGGAAUAUAGCUGGUCAAAGAGCUCAAGUUGCUCUGACUAUCCCCCUCGGGAGCAUUCAAAGAAACUGAAAAUGCCAUGGACUUUCCGGAAUUCUGAAACGGUGUAGGUUCGUCAUACAUGGCUGUAUCACUUUUUAUUAGUUUCAAUCGAACGUCUUUUAAGACACAUAUUCAACGGUGAAUAUCCAAAACUAAGAACAAUUAAACAUGUGUCUGAUUUUUAGAACGGAUGGACCGAAGGGCCGGUGAGCUUAUGCCAUGGUGCAGUGUCCGUCGUCCGUCAACACUUCCUUCAAAUUGCUACUUGUCCUUAACGACUGAGUUGAUUUCGAUGAAAUUUGACCUGGAACAUUAUUUGGAAAAACGAGAUAUAAUGUUUUAUAAACAAGGGUGUGACUGCCCUGGGCAUGAGGGACGGGACCCGAUAUGGGGAAAUGAUGGAAUUCGGUCUGAAUCAUUAAUCGGAAUAGAUCUCUAAUGCUGUAGUAACAAAGGGUGUGACUUUCCUGAUGCCGGAAGGGCGGGGCCCGAUAGAAGAACUAAUACCAACCCUUCAAAUCACUACUAGUCAUGAACAACUGAAUCGAUUUUGAUGUAAUUUUGUCUGAAACAACAUUUGGCAGAGAGGGUCUAAUGUUUUAUAAACAAAAGGGCAUGGCUCCCUUGGGUCUAAAUAGGGGAAAUAAAUUUUAAUCCUCAAUCCUUUGAUCGCUACUAGUCAUGAACUACUUAAUUGAUUUUGAUGAAAUUUCGUCUUGAGCAUCGUAUUAUUGUGCAGAAGAGAUUCAAUGUUGUAUAAAAAGGGGUGUGGUUCCCCUGGGUCGCGCGGGUAGAGCCAAAUAGGGAAAUUUAAAGGAAAAUGCUUUAAAUCCCUUCUAGUCCCUGAACGAAUGAAUACGUUUUGAUGGUCUGGAGGAUAAUUGGGAAAGGAGGUCCAAUUAUGUAUAAACAAAUGGUGUGGCUUCCCUGGGAACAGAUGGGUGGGCUCAAUAGGGGAAAUUAAUGUAAAUCUUUUGAAUUGUUACUUGUCAUAAACGACUGAAUUAAUUUUGAUGAAAUGGUCUUGAACAUUAUCUGGCAAAGGAGAUCCAAUGUUGUAUAAUCGGAGGGUGUGAUUGCCCUGCGGCCGGAGGGGCAGGGGCCAAUAAGGGAAAUAUAAGUAAAUGCCUAAAUUACUACUAGUCCUGGAUGGAAUUUGAUGAAUGUUUUGGGAUCAUUAUAAGGGGAAGGACAUCCUUUGUUGUAUAAAUAGAGGGUGUGGCUCCCCCGAGGCGAAAUGGACCGGGUCUUACAUGGAUAUUAGAGGUAAAUGCUUUUUAUCGCUACUAGUCAUGAACGACUGAAUGGAAUUUCAUGAAAUUUUAUCUGUAUCAUUAUUGGACAAAGCAGAUCCAAUGUUGUAUAAACAGAAGAUAUAAUUUCCCUGGGAGGAGCCCAAUAGGCGAAAUAUAGCCAAAACAAAGACAUUGUUGGAGGAGACAGUUAAAAAAAGGAAAUAUUUCUAACAUAACUUACAUGAGAGUGUCUUUCCAUGAUUACUCGAAUAUCCAGGUGAACAGGUAAACUACGUUUAUAGUUCACAGAAAAACUGUGUAAUUCUAACAAAUUUAGGGACAAAAUCAAAAUAAUGACAUGAAUAAAAUCGUCUACAAUGAA
Long non-coding RNA from Pecten maximus, 2912 nucleotides. RefSeq lists it as uncharacterized. The transcript has 3 exons. NCBI's taxonomy places the organism in Eukaryota, Metazoa, Mollusca, Bivalvia, Pectinida, Pectinidae. The record is from RefSeq and is a predicted model, not a curated record.